Triticum dicoccoides is the source of this 250-nucleotide long non-coding RNA. RefSeq lists it as uncharacterized. The record is from RefSeq and is a predicted model, not a curated record. NCBI's taxonomy places the organism in Eukaryota, Viridiplantae, Streptophyta, Magnoliopsida, Poales, Poaceae. The transcript has 3 exons.
CACCCAAAGAAGCCAAACGCUGGUCACGACAUUCUUCAGAUUGAACGGAUUGUGAGGACUUCGUCUUCUGUUCUACUUCAUGAAGGACCAAGGUCCAAAAGAUACUCAUCAAGCUCAGAAAUUAGAAGUCUCCAGGAGAAACCCUUGGAUUUAGGUGUGAAACUGAAUAAUCACAAGGUCAGGACAUACUGGGUCUUGCGCCCAAAUGUUACAAUCCUCGUGCCAACAAAGCAAUAAAGGAAAACAAAAA